This 375-nucleotide long non-coding RNA is filed under the name Pan troglodytes (chimpanzee). RNAcentral's name for it is "long non-coding RNA NONPTRT002548". The record is from RNAcentral. Lineage: Eukaryota; Metazoa; Chordata; Mammalia; Primates; Hominidae.
ACUACUCAGGAGGCUGAGGCAAGAGGAUGGCUUGAGCCCAGGUGAUUGAGGCUGCAGUGAGCUGAGGUAGUUUAAGUCCUUCCAAACUUGUUUUCCUUUCUUAAGAGUGUUCUUGCUAUUCUAGGUCCUUUGCCUUCUCGAACAAAUUUUAGAAUAUAUUUGUCAAUUAUUUUUUAAAUUAAGUUUUAAACAUAAAUACUUUUAAUUGCCUGGCAUUUUAACGUCCAAUUUGAGACCUUGUAAAAAAAAUUGUGGUACAAUACACAUAACAUAAAAUUUACCAUCUUGACCAUUUUUAAGUGGCAUUAAGUACAUUCACAUUGUGCAACCAUCACCACCAUCCAUCCACAGAAAUCUUUUUAUCUUGCAAAACUA